Manacus vitellinus (golden-collared manakin) is the source of this 300-nucleotide long non-coding RNA. RefSeq lists it as uncharacterized. The record is from RefSeq and is a predicted model, not a curated record. The transcript has 3 exons. Lineage: Eukaryota; Metazoa; Chordata; Aves; Passeriformes; Pipridae.
CCACUGAGAAGAGCCUGGCUCCAUCUUCUUGACAUUCUUCCUUCAGUCAUAGCCCUCUUCUGGACCCACUCCAGGAGCUCCAUGUCUCUUUCGUACUGAGGAUCCCAGAGCUGUUCACAGCAUUGCAGAUCACACCUGAAGUACUGUGCUCAGUUCUGAUCCCCAUAAAAGAAGAAAGGUAUGUACAGAGUGCCAAAGACCAGGAAGAUGAUCAAAGUACUGGAGAAGCUGCCUAUAUGGAAAGAAGUUAGGUCUCUUCUCCCUGAAGAAGAGAAGAUUCAGAAGAGACUUCAUAAAAUA